RNAcentral lists this ribosomal RNA (482 nucleotides) under uncultured bacterium. RNAcentral's name for it is "bacterial SSU rRNA". It matches the Rfam family "Bacterial small subunit ribosomal RNA", at positions 28 to 523 of the family's 1533-position model. The record is from RNAcentral.
GACGAACGCUGGCGGCGUGCUUAACACAUGCAAGUCGAACGGUGACGAGGAGCUUGCUCCUCUGAUCAGUGGCGAACGGGUGAGUAACACGUGAGCAACCUGCCCCAGACUCUGGGAUAACAGUUGGAAACAGCUGCUAGUACCGGAUACGAGACGGAGAGGCAUCUCUACCGUCUGGAAAGUUUUUCGGUCUGGGAUGGACUCGCGGCCUAUCAGCUAGUUGGUGAGGUAAUGGCUCACCAAGGCGACGACGGGUAGCCGGCCUGAGAGGGCGACCGGCCACACUGGGACUGAGACACGGCCCAGACUCCUACGGGAGGCAGCAGUGGGGAAUAUUGCACAAUGGGCGAAAGCCUGAUGCAGCGACGCCGCGUGAGGGAUGAAGGCCUUCGGGUGUAAACCGUCUUUCAGCAGGGAAGAAGCGAAAGUGACGGUACCUGCAGAAGAAGCACCGGCUAACUACGUGCCAGCAGCCGCGGUAA